This is a long non-coding RNA of Dromaius novaehollandiae (emu), 1162 nucleotides long. RefSeq lists it as uncharacterized. NCBI's taxonomy places the organism in Eukaryota, Metazoa, Chordata, Aves, Casuariiformes, Dromaiidae. The transcript is spliced from 2 exons. The record is from RefSeq and is a predicted model, not a curated record.
GCAAAAUAAAAUUCGGGGGAGGGGGGAAAAAAAGGAGGGAGAGGCAUGCUCUUCUGUCCAUAACUAUGUGCUUGUGCUGUGGGAGUUUUUCAUCCUCGGAUCUUUUUAAGUCCUUCUCUUGACACCAGAGAUGCCUGGCUGGUCUUUUUCCACUCUUCCUGGGAACUUCCUGGACUGGAGGAAUCAAGAAUUUCAGUGAAUUAUUAAUGGGGAUGACACUCCGUGGGGGUGAUCACAUGUGGCGGUUUCUGUGUGAAUGGGAAGCAGCGGAGGAGAUUUUUCCAGGUGCCUCUCUUUGCUCCGGCCCCCUCUUCCCAGAAGGCUCCCGACUCAGUAGGUUAUGACUAAUCUUAAUGCUGAAAGAACUGAAAUCUCACCUUUUGCCGGGGGACACAGGGAGCACCUCUGCACCCUGACCCCAUGCAUCCUGUAGCCUUCUGUAUGUGUGUGCACAAUGUUCAUUUUGUAAGUUGCUCAGCACCGAAAAUUCUUGUAAUUGCCUUAGGGCAAUCCUGAGCUUCAGCACAGCUCCCACCCCACCCCCUCACAAUCAGCCUAGUCUUAAACAAGGCUUUGGAGGGUUUAAUCUAAAUAUUAAAUGACAAGAUGGAAAUUACCUGCCAGUUUAUUAUUUACCUGACAACAGUCUACUCCAACUGCACAGAGACCCCUUAAGAUUCAUGGUCUUCUGUCUCCUUCUGAAGCAACUGUUCCUCCAUGGACAGACACAGCACUGGAUUAGCUGGAACGAGGAUCCAGUGUGGCAACUUCUGUUUCUACAGUCCCUGUGGAAUGCCUAAAUUCUGCAGUCUGAGACCAAAAUGUCUGCGAAUCUCAGCCAUUAGCGCAAAAAGAAAAUAGAGCAUGAACUAGGAAUAUAUGUUAUUGUUCUCUAAGCUAUCCAGGAGAUAUCCCAUUCUGAAAGCAAUGAAAGAUGUGUUUUCGGGAUUUAAGGACUAUUUCAAGAAAUGCCCUGAAGCUGGUGAAAGGCCAGCUCUGCUUCACUACUCACUGCAGUAUCUAUGAAAUGAUCUGAAGUUCUCCCUUUGUGAAUCCUUGCAUGAACCAGACUCUUCAGAGUUCUCACAGCCCUGUUUAUUUUCCAAAAAUGUGGAGGGACUGUAUUCUGAAUUUAUAAAGGCAUAACCUCGAUCUAACUGAA